AGUUUUAUUUUUGCACUGCGCAUAAUUGCCCCAAUAAAUCUGGGGUGUUAAAGUAAGGAAAUGGAAAUCGACCGAACAAAGAAUAUUUACGUUUUAUUUUCUGUUUUUAAAAUAUCUAAUUUGCCGUUAACCCAUUUCCUUAAAAGAAGACGGCUAAAUAUAUAAGAUAUUAUAAGAUAAGAUAAUGUAUAGACAAAAAUCUAUCAUUGUUUGUUUUACAAUAGUGGAAUUAAACCAAAAGAAUUGAAUUACACCAAAAGAGGAAAUAUUAUCAACAAUUACGCGUUUAAUUUUUCAGCAUUUGCACACUACAUUUAUAUUUCUUUUUAUCUUAUCGACGUAAAAUAUAUAGAAUAAACUGUAUAUCUAUGAUUUAUCUAUACAAGCGUUUUGUAAACAAGAUAAGAACUGUAUAAUACUGAUAAAGAACGCUGGACUGACACGCACAUAUAGACUGAAAUAGGGAAAUAUAUUUAAGGAUUUUUUUUUAUGUUCUGGGAUCAGAAACAGACAAAAUAGGUACGACGGCAAGUGCAAGUGACUUAAGUCGGGAUGGGGAAGAUGGCGCCAUGUCUCGACGAAACAGCGCCACACAAGAAAAUGCCACGAGCAAGGUUACAUUUAAAACGGAAUCUCACGAGAAAAACGUGCUACGUGAAAUAUUCAGCGAGGAGUCCUUGCUAGAGAAGAGCAGAAAAAGUUUUAACGCUGACAUGAGGAUGUUUGCCAUUAUGUUUGAAGAGUCGCAUAUAACCGAUAAAGACAGAAGAAAUCCGAAAUGAAUCGAUCAUCUGCGCUCGGACGUCAACGCUUAAUCAUAACAUUGGUGCUGACAGACUUGUUCAUUAACCGUUAGCAUAAAUCAAUGUUUGAAUGUUGACAGACUUGUUCAUUAACCGUUAGCAUAAAUCAGUGUUUGAAUGUUGACAGACUUGUUCAUUAAACGUUAGCAUAAAUCAAUGUUUGAAUGUUGACAGACUUGUUCAUUAAACGUUAGCAUAAAUCAGUGUUUGAAUGUUGACAGACUUGUUCAUUAACCGUUAGCAUAAAUCAGUGUUUGAAUGUUGACAGACUUGUUCAUUAAACGUUAGCAUAAAUCAAUGUUUGAAUGUUGACAGACUUGUUCAUUAAACGUUAGCAUAAAUCAAUGUUUGAAUGUUGACAGACUUGUUCAUUAAACGUUAGCAUAAAUCAAUGUUUGAAUGUUGACAGACUUGUUCAUUAAACGUUAGCAUAAAUCAAUGUUUGAAUGUUGACAGACUUGUUCAUUAAACGUUAGCAUAAAUCAAUGUUUGAAUGUUGACAGACUUGUUCAUUAAACGUUAGCAUAAAUCAAUGUUUGAAUGUUGACAGACUUGUUCAUUAAACGUUAGCAUAAAUCAAUGUUGGAAUGUUGACAGACUUGUUCAUUAAACGUUAGCAUAAAUCAAUGUUUGAAUGUUGACAGACUUGUUCAUUAAACGUUAGCAUAAAUCAAUAUUGGAAUGUUGACAGACUUGUUCAUUAAACGUAGCAUAAAUCAAUGUUACAACGUAUCAUAAUCGUAUAUCACUUGACUGUUUAACAGAACUUGUUAUAGAUUGACUUAAUCCAAGGCUACAAGGAACGCUGGGUAUAAAUGUAUCUGCAGUAUAUACUGUACAUAUGUAUAUGUCAACUGCAGUAUAUACUGUACAUAUGUAUAUGUCAACUGCAGUAUAUACUGUACAUAUGUAUAUGUCAACAUAUCUUAUAUGCAUUGCAUCUUUAUACAUAUUAAACAAUCAUGAGUAAUUUAUGAAAUUUUAUUGAAAUUCAAUUUCUUAAAAUG
RNA transcript from Ruditapes philippinarum (Manila clam), 1810 nucleotides. RefSeq lists it as uncharacterized. The transcript has 3 exons. The record is from RefSeq and is a predicted model, not a curated record. Lineage: Eukaryota; Metazoa; Mollusca; Bivalvia; Venerida; Veneridae.